Molecule: ribosomal RNA, 516 nt
Filed under: uncultured bacterium
Lineage: Bacteria
Description: bacterial SSU rRNA
Rfam family: Bacterial small subunit ribosomal RNA
Source: RNAcentral
UUCGAUUCUGGCUCAGGAUGAACGCUAGCUACAGGCUUAACACAUGCAAGUCGAGGGCAGCAUUGUCGAAGCUUGCUUGACAGAUGGCGACCGGCGCACGGGUGAGUAACGCGUAUCCAACCUUCCCCAUAGUAGGGCAUAGCCCGUAGAAAUGCGGAUUAAUACCCUAUGUAUUCCGAGGAUGACAUCUGAUUCGGAACAAAGGUUCACCGCUAUGGGAUGGGGAUGCGUCUGAUUAGGUAGUAGGCGGGGUAACGGCCCACCUAGCCGACGAUCAGUAGGGGUUCUGAGAGGAAGGUCCCCCACAUUGGAACUGAGACACGGUCCAAACUCCUACGGGAGGCAGCAGUGAGGAAUAUUGGUCAAUGGGCGAGAGCCUGAACCAGCCAAGUAGCGUGCAGGACGACGGCCCUAUGGGUUGUAAACUGCUUUUAUACAGGGAUAAAGUCGGGGACGCGUUCCCCGUUUGCAGGUACUGUAUGAAUAAGGACCGGCUAAUUCCGUGCCAGCAGCCGC